AUUAAUUUGAGUAGAGAUUAUCGAAUGGUAAAAGUAUAGCGACAGUUGAGUGAAACUCUUUGUUCAUAUAUAUAAAGUAGUGGACUGGCUAAUGAGGUACCGCAGGGAAGGUGUAGGUGAAUUUGAAAUGGGAGGCCAUCGUUGCUGCAGCAAACAGAAAGUCAAAAGAGGGUUAUGGUCACCUGAAGAAGAUCAAAAGCUCAUCGGACACAUCACAUCCUACGGCCAUGGCAGUUGGAGUUCUGUCCCUAAACUUGCAGGAUUGCAGAGAUGUGGGAAAAGUUGCAGAUUAAGAUGGAUAAACUAUUUAAGACCAGACCUCAGGAAGGGUUCUUUUACACCUGAAGAAGAGCAACUCAUUAUUGAUGUGCACAGAAUUCUAGGUAACAGAUGGGCUCAGAUAGCCAAGCAUCUCCCAGGAAGGACAGACAAUGAGGUGAAGAACUUUUGGAACUCUUGCAUUAAGAAAAAGCUUCUCUCACAAGGUUUGGACCCCAAAACCCACAAUCUCAUCCCUUCUCAUCUAAGAGAAAGUAGACCAGCACCUUCAAAUUCAAACAUAAUAAUACCUCCUGAUCCAAAGCACCCAUUUCCAGUUUUCUCUGUGAGUUCACAGAUGAAAAAUUCUUUAGUGCUAGAAGAAGACCCACCUUUUUCUCAGCCUCUAACUAAUGCUAUUGGUCAAAACAUAACCAGACCCACUUCAGAUUUGAUUGUAAAAGGUCAGAAUUGCCAUGAUAUGACUACUAUUUUCCCUUGUCAUGAAUCACCACCCAUUGAGAGCAUACCCACUGUAUCCUGUUCACCAUCUUCUUCUGUGAGUACUACUGUUAAUAACCCAUCCGCAUAUGGACUUCUGGAUGAUAUUUACAACUGGGAUGCCAGUACUUUUGAUCAUGAUCAGCACAACCAAGCACCGAGAAUAUCAAUGGAAAGAGAGCAAUAUUUACCACUGAUAAAUCAUGAACAACAUGAUAUAGACAAGGAGAAGAUAUGGAAAUUGGAAUUGGACAAAGUUGAUCAUGUUAACAAGCUGCAGGGUGCUUCAUCAUUUGAGACCUCCAGCUUUGAUGAUUUUGGGUUCGUGGAGCCCACAUUUACGUCAGGAAUAAUAUGCCAUGAUUUAAGUUCGAUUUCUGAUCUUGCAUGGAAUUAUUAAGCCUUCUUGAUGUCUUAUUCUUUUUUGUCAUGUUCUUUGCUAGCUAGCGAGGAGCAGGAUUACAUGUAGUGUUCGAUGUGUGAUUUGACGGUCCGAUAAUGGAAAUCGGCAAUGAUUCGGGAAUGGAGGACGGAGAUUUUGUGGUGGAGACUUGCAUUACACAUACUCUACCCCCGGCAUUGACGCUUGAGAAGGGAUUAGAGAGUAUCAAAGAUGCUAUGGGGAAGUUGAAGCUGAAUCCUCCUUCUAUCUCCAAUGGGUUCUUUUGGUUUUAGGUACUGGAAAAUUCUGUAAGACUUUGCUGUUUUGAUACUAUGUCGUUUUGUUUGGUUUUCAUUUCAUAUGUGAUUCUGUGAGGAUUUCUAAAGGUCGCUGUGCCUUCUAGUGUGAAAGCUUUGGAUUGGUUUGCCUAUCAGUCAGAGUCUUGUGAGGUUUUCCCUCUGUUUUUAUGUCGAAGGAAAUAGAAAAU
This is an RNA transcript of Ziziphus jujuba (common jujube), 1628 nucleotides long. It is a transcript of the gene named myb-related protein 308, with no coding region annotated. The transcript has 4 exons. Lineage: Eukaryota; Viridiplantae; Streptophyta; Magnoliopsida; Rosales; Rhamnaceae. The record is from RefSeq and is a predicted model, not a curated record.